CCUGUACAGGUAUGGAAUUAAAAGGGAAUCCCGUGAAAAUCGGGAACAGUCCCGCUGCUGUAAGCUCUGCAAAUGAAAACGGCAAUCACUCUUAUGCCACUGAUAUGACAAUCGGGAAGGCGCCGUUGACAGGAGUAAGUCAGAAGACCUGCCAUGCGAAUUAU
This 164-nucleotide non-coding RNA is filed under the name uncultured Barnesiella sp. The record is from RNAcentral. Lineage: Bacteria; Pseudomonadati; Bacteroidota; Bacteroidia; Bacteroidales; Barnesiellaceae.